RNAcentral lists this ribosomal RNA (186 nucleotides) under uncultured bacterium. RNAcentral's name for it is "partial 16S ribosomal RNA". It matches the Rfam family "Bacterial small subunit ribosomal RNA", at positions 338 to 516 of the family's 1533-position model. The record is from RNAcentral.
CCUACGGGGGGCAGCAGUAGGGAAUCUUCCGCAAUGGACGAAAGUCUGACGGAGCAACGCCGCGUGAGUGAUGAAGGCUUUCGGGUCGUAAAACUCUGUUGUUAGGGAAGAACAAGUACAAGAGUAACUGCUUGUACCUUGACGGUACCUAACCAGAAAGCCACGGCUAACUACGUGCCAGCAGCC